UACGGAGGGGGCUAGCGUUGUUCGGAAUUACUGGGCGUAAAGCGCACGUAGGCGGCUUUGUAAGUUAGAGGUGAAAGCCCAGGGCUCAACCCUGGAAUUGCCCUUAAGACUGCAUCGCUUGAACAUCGGAGAGGUAAGUGGAAUUCCGAGUGUAGAGGUGAAAUUCGUAGAUAUUCGGAAGAACACCAGUGGCGAAGGCGACUUACUGGACGAUUGUUGACGCUGAGGUGCGAAAGCGUGGGGAGCAAACAGG
This 253-nucleotide ribosomal RNA is filed under the name uncultured bacterium. RNAcentral describes it as "partial 16S ribosomal RNA". It matches the Rfam family "Bacterial small subunit ribosomal RNA", at positions 524 to 776 of the family's 1533-position model. The record is from RNAcentral.